GCAAACUUGGUCAUUUAGAGGAAGUAAAAGUCGUAACAAGGUUUCCGUAGGUGAACCUGCGGAAGGAUCAUUAACGAGUUGAAAUUGAAGUUGUUCUGGUCUCUUGGGGCAAGUGAACACUUCUCUCUCAUCCAUCUUACCCCUGUGCACUUUGAGAGGUGGACCUGUUUCUCUUGAUUCUUGACCCACAACCAAUGUUGGUAAUACAACUGAGGUUGAAUCAUGAAUAAAGUGGAAUUGCAAUUUAGAAUCUAAGUUGGAAACGACGGUGGUUCUGAUAGUCUCCUCUUAUUUUAUACCAUACUACAAAGUAUUAGAAAGUCUAUUAUUGCUUGAUGCAAACAAUAAAUACAACUUUCAGCAACGGAUCUCUUGGCUCUCGCAUCGAUGAAGAACGCAGC
RNAcentral lists this unclassified non-coding RNA (401 nucleotides) under uncultured fungus. RNAcentral describes it as "partial contains small subunit ribosomal RNA, internal transcribed spacer 1, and 5.8S ribosomal RNA". The stretch from base 1 to 73 matches the Rfam family "Eukaryotic small subunit ribosomal RNA", at positions 1759 to 1831 of the family's 1831-position model. Lineage: Eukaryota; Fungi. The record is from RNAcentral.